CACACAGACAGUAAGUUGCCAGAAUAGAAGAUGCAAGUUCUCAGCACCUCUGUUGUAAUUAAGGGAUCAUCUCCCUUCCCUGCACUGCUGCUGAUGAGCACCAGAGCACCAGAGCACAGGCAUGGAGCACCAGACUCGUGGGCUCAGAGCACAGGUUGGGAACUUGCAGAUGUGCUCUGUGUCCCUUCCCAUGGGAACCAACCUUUGGAAGAGGGAUGGAAGACUGGAAGUACCUACGUCUCUUUGCAACAGAGAGUUAUGAAUCUGGAAAGUUUUCCCAACUCCCACUCUUUACCUCUAGCAGUUACUGUCUGAUGCAUGUAAGCCCCAUGUCAUUGCCUGCAUUCCUCAGGAUUUUGUCUCAUCUACUGUACACCAUCAAGGUACCCAUGUGAAAACUUCUAGUGCAAAUAGUCUAGGUACACACACACAGAUUUCCA
Molecule: long non-coding RNA, 440 nt
Filed under: Phasianus colchicus (ring-necked pheasant)
Lineage: Eukaryota; Metazoa; Chordata; Aves; Galliformes; Phasianidae
Description: lncRNA (ENSPCLG00000003507.1)
Source: RNAcentral